This 385-nucleotide RNase P RNA is filed under the name Pseudomonadales bacterium. Its description in RNAcentral is "RNase P RNA component class A". It matches the Rfam family "Bacterial RNase P class A". From Rfam's summary of the family: Ribonuclease P (RNase P) is a ubiquitous endoribonuclease, found in archaea, bacteria and eukarya as well as chloroplasts and mitochondria. RNAcentral also lists the same sequence under 1 other name. The record is from RNAcentral. Lineage: Bacteria; Pseudomonadati; Pseudomonadota; Gammaproteobacteria; Pseudomonadales.
CACAGCUCACAGAUAGCAGCCCCUCACUUUCGCGCCAGGCCAGACCUUGACAGUAAAGUGAGGGGAGGAAAGUCCGGACAGCAGAGUGUAGGGUGUCCAUCGAAAGGUGGAGCGUCCGAUGUCAUAAUCGGACGACAGUUAGAGCAACAGUGACGAUUUCCCUCACAUUCGUGUGAGGGAGGUGAAACGCCUUUGAUCCUCGAGAAAUCGAGAGGAGGCCUCUCACCACUCGUGGUGAGAGGGGUAAUCCUCCCCGCUGCAACCGACGACCUUCACCGCAUUGCACACACUCGCGAGUUGGCACUCGUGCCAGCCGGUGAUAAAGACGCGGGCAUUAGAUAGAUUGCUAUCAAAACAGAAUCUGGCUUAUUGGGGGCUGUGCGGU